RNAcentral lists this small nuclear RNA (195 nucleotides) under Oryza punctata. RNAcentral describes it as "snRNA U2". It matches the Rfam family "U2 spliceosomal RNA". Rfam says of the family: U2 is a small nuclear RNA (snRNA) component of the spliceosome (involved in pre-mRNA splicing). Complementary binding between U2 snRNA (in an area lying towards the 5' end but 3' to hairpin I) and the branchpoint sequence (BPS) of the intron results the bulging out of an unpaired adenosine, on the BPS, which initiates a nucleophilic attack at the intronic 5' splice site, thus starting the first of two transesterification reactions that mediate splicing. Lineage: Eukaryota; Viridiplantae; Streptophyta; Magnoliopsida; Poales; Poaceae. The record is from Rfam by way of RNAcentral.
AUACCUUUCUCGGCCUUUUGGCUAAGAUCAAGUGUAGUAUCUGUUCUUAUCAGUUUAAUAUCUGAUACGUGGGCCAUGUGCCCAUUUCGAUAUUAAAUUUAUUUUUUGUGGGGAGGGCCCGCCACAGUGGCUUGCCAUUGGGGCCCUCUCGCGUAGCCCAGGCGUUGCACUGCUGCCCGGGACUGCGCACCCCAA